GCUGGGGAUCAGCUCAGUUGGUAGAGUGCUUGCCUACCACCAUGCACAAGGACCUGGGUUCAAUCCCCAGCACCACCA
This 78-nucleotide transfer RNA is filed under the name Marmota monax (woodchuck). Its description in RNAcentral is "tRNA.Gly". The record is from RNAcentral. Lineage: Eukaryota; Metazoa; Chordata; Mammalia; Rodentia; Sciuridae.